Molecule: ribosomal RNA, 1370 nt
Filed under: uncultured bacterium
Lineage: Bacteria
Description: 16S ribosomal RNA
Rfam family: Bacterial small subunit ribosomal RNA
Source: RNAcentral
GAUGAACGCUGGCGGCGUGCCUAAUACAUGCAAGUCGAGCGAACAGAUAAGGAGCUUGCUCCUUUGAAGUUAGCGGCGGACGGGUGAGUAACACGUGGGUAACCUACCUAUAAGACUGGGAUAACUUCGGGAAACCGGAGCUAAUACCGGAUAACAUUUAGAACCGCAUGGUUCUAAAGUGAAAGAUGGUUUUGCUAUCACUUAUAGAUGGACCCGCGCCGUAUUAGCUAGUUGGUAAGGUAACGGCUUACCAAGGCGACGAUACGUAGCCGACCUGAGAGGGUGAUCGGCCACACUGGAACUGAGACACGGUCCAGACUCCUAUGGGAGGCAGCAGUAGGGAAUCUUCCGCACUGGGCGAAAGCCUGACGGAGCAACGCCGCGUGAGUGAUGAAGGGUUUCGGCUCUUAAAACUCUGUUAUUAGGGAAGAACAAAUGUGUAAGUAACUGUGCACAUCUUGACGGUACCUAAUCAGAAAGCCACGGUUAAUUACGUGUCACCAGCCGCGGUAAUACGUAUGUGGCAAGCGUUAUCCCGGAAUUAUUGGGCGUAAAGCGCGCGUAGGCGGUUUCUUAAGUCUGAUGUGAAAGCCCACGGCUCAUCCGUGGAGGGUCAUUGGAAACUGGGAAACUUGAGUGCAGAAGAGGAAAGUGGAAUUCCAUGUGUAGCGGUGAAAUGCGCAGAGAUAUGGAGGAACACCAGUGGCGAAGGCGACUUUCUGGUCUGUAACUGACGCUGAUGUGCGAAAGCGUGGGGAUCAAACAGGAUUAGAUACCCUGGUAGUCCACGCCGUAAACGAUGAGUGCUAAGUGUUAGGGGGUUUCCGCCCCUUAGUGCUGCAGCUAACGCAUUAAGCACUCCGCCUGGGGAGUACGACCGCAAGGUUGAAACUCAAAGGAAUUGACGGGGACCCGCACAAGCGGUGGAGCAUGUGGUUUAAUUCGAAGCAACGCGAAGAACCUUACCAAAUCUUGACAUCCUUUGAAAACUCUAGAGAUAGAGCCUUCCCCUUCGGGGGACAAAGUGACAGGUGGUGCAUGGUUGUCGUCAGCUCGUGUCGUGAGAUGUUGGGUUAAGUCCCGCAACGAGCGCAACCCUUAAGCUUAGUUGCCAUCAUUAAGUUGGGCACUCUAGGUUGACUGCCGGUGACAAACCGGAGGAAGGUGGGGAUGACGUCAAAUCAUCAUGCCCCUUAUGAUUUGGGCUACACACGUGCUACAAUGGACAAUACAAAGGGCAGCUAAACCGCGAGGUCAUGCAAAUCCCAUAAAGUUGUUCUCAGUUCGGAUUGUAGUCUGCAACUCGACUACAUGAAGCUGGAAUCGCUAGUAAUCGUAGAUCAGCAUGCUACGGUGAAUACGUUCCCGGG